GCUGGGUGCGGUGGCGCACACCUAUAAUCCCAGCGGUUUGGGAGGCUGAGACAGGAGAAUUGUGAGUUCAAAGCCAGCGUCAGCAAUUGCAAGGCACUAAGCAACUCAGUGAGACCCUGUCUCUA
This 125-nucleotide small RNA is filed under the name Marmota monax (woodchuck). The record is from RNAcentral. Lineage: Eukaryota; Metazoa; Chordata; Mammalia; Rodentia; Sciuridae.